GACGAACGCUGGCGGCGCGCCUAACACAUGCAAGUCGAGCGGAGUUUGAGAGAGCUUGCUUUUCAAACUUAGUGGCGAACGGGUGAGUAACGCGUGAGUAACCUGCCCUGGAGUGGGGGACAACAGUUGGAAACGACUGCUAAUACCGCAUAAGCCCACGGCCCGGCAUCGGGUUGAGGGAAAAGGAUUUAUUCGCUUCAGGAUGGACUCGCGUCCAAUUAGCUAGUUGGCAGGGUGAUAGCCUACCAAGGCGACGAUCGGUAGCCGACCUGAGAGGGUGAUCGGCCACAUUGGAACUGAGAUACGGUCCAA
RNAcentral lists this ribosomal RNA (312 nucleotides) under uncultured bacterium. RNAcentral describes it as "bacterial SSU rRNA". It matches the Rfam family "Bacterial small subunit ribosomal RNA", at positions 28 to 334 of the family's 1533-position model. The record is from RNAcentral.